RNAcentral lists this ribosomal RNA (508 nucleotides) under uncultured bacterium. Its description in RNAcentral is "partial 16S ribosomal RNA". It matches the Rfam family "Bacterial small subunit ribosomal RNA", at positions 28 to 507 of the family's 1533-position model. The record is from RNAcentral.
GACGAACGCUGGCGGCGUGCCUAAUACAUGCAAGUCGAACGCUUCUUUCCUCCCGAGUGCUUGCUCUCAAUUGGAAAGAGGAGUGGCGGACGGGUGAGUAACACGUGGGUAACCUACCCAUCAGAGAGGGAUGACACUUGGAAACAGGUGCUAAUACCGCAUAACAGUUUAUGCCGCAUGGCAUAAGAGUGAAAGGCGCUUUCGGGUGUCGCUGAUGGAUGGACCCGCGGUGCAUUAGCUAGUUGGUGAGGUAACGGCUCACCAAGGCCACGAUGCAUAGCCGACCUGAGAGGGUGAUCGGCCACACUGGGACUGAGACACGGCCCAGACUCCUACGGGAGGCAGCAGUAGGGAAUCUUCGGCAAUGGACGAAAGUCUGACCGAGCAACGCCGCGUGAGUGAAGAAGGUUUUCGGAUCGUAAAACUCUGUUGUUAGAGAAGAACAAGGACGUUAGUAACUGAACGUCCCCUGACGGUAUCUAACCAGAAAGCCACGGCUAACUACGUG